This 1208-nucleotide ribosomal RNA is filed under the name metagenome. Its description in RNAcentral is "bacterial LSU rRNA". It matches the Rfam family "Bacterial large subunit ribosomal RNA", at positions 1599 to 2818 of the family's 2925-position model. The record is from RNAcentral.
GUCAUACUUCCAAGAAAAGCUUGCACUGUCAUAGAUAAAAAACGCCUGUACCAUAACCGACACAGGUGGGUAGGUAGAGUAUACUAAGGGGCGCGAGAUAACUCUCUCUAAGGAACUCGGCAAAAUAACUCCGUAACUUCGGGAGAAGGAGUGCCUUAUUCGUAAGGUUGCAAUAACAAGAUCCAAGCAACUGUUUAUCAAAAACACAGGUCUCCGCUAAGUCGUAAGACGAUGUAUGGGGGCUGACGCCUGCCCAGUGCCAGAAGGUUAAAGAAGUUGGUUAGCAAUUGCGAAGCUGAUAACUGAAGCCCUGGUGAACGGCGGCCGUAACGAUAACGGUCCUAAGGUAGCGAAAUUCCUUGUCGGGUAAGUUCCGACCCGCACGAAAGGCGUAAUGAUUUGGAUACUGUCUCGGAGAGGGGCUCGGUGAAAUAGACUUGUCUGUGAAGAUGCGGACUACCUGCACCAGGACAGAAAGACCCUAUGAAGCUUUACUGUAACUUGAAAUUGAAAUUGGACUUUAUUCGCGCAGUAUAGGUGGGAGGCGUUGAUUAUAAUCUUGUGGGAUUAUUGGAGCCAUCAGUGAGAUACCACUCUUGUAAUGUUAGAUUUCUAACUUUGAAUCAUUAUCUGGUCAAAGAACAGUUUCAGGCGGGCAGUUUGACUGGGGCGGUCGCCUCCUAAACGGUAACGGAGGCGUACAAAGGUUUCCUCUGAACGGUUAGAAAUCGUAUCUAGAGUGUAAAGGCAUAAGGAAGCUUGACUGUGAGACCUACAAGUCGAGCAGGGACGAAAGUCGGUCUUAGUGAUCUGACGGUACUGAGUGGAAAGGCCGUCACUCAACGGAUAAAAGUUACUCUAGGAUAACAGGCUGAUCUCCCCCAAGAGUUCACAUCGACGGGGAGGUUGGCACCUCGAUGUCGGCUCAUCGCAUCCUGGGGCGGUAGUACGUCCCAAGGGUUGGGCUGUUCGCCCAUGAAAGCGGUACGCGAGCUGGGUUCAGAACGUCGUGAGACAGUUCGGUCCAUAUCCGGUGUAGGCGUUAGAAUAUUGAGAGGAGCCUUCUUUAGUACGAGAGGACCGAGAAGGACAUACCUCUGGUGUACCAGUUAUCGUGCCAACGGUAAACGCUGGGUAGCUAUGUAUGGAGUGGAUAACCGCUGAAAGCAUCUAAGUGGGAAGCCCACCUCAAGAUAAGUAUUCUCAGC